UCUCCGUAGGUGAACCUGCGGAGGGAUCAUUACCGAGUGAGGGUCCUUGUGGCCCGACCUCCAACCCCCUGUCUUCCGACUCUGUUGCCUCGGGGGCGACCCGGCGCUUCGGCGCCAGGGGGUCCCCGCUGGUCCACACAACUCUGCAUCUUUGCGUCUGAGUAAACAUUAAAUGAAACAAAACUUUCAACAACGGAUCUCUUGGUUCUGGCAUCGAUGAAGAACGCAGC
RNAcentral lists this unclassified non-coding RNA (230 nucleotides) under uncultured fungus. Its description in RNAcentral is "sequence contains ITS1, 5.8S rRNA gene". The stretch from base 182 to 230 matches the Rfam family "5.8S ribosomal RNA", at positions 1 to 49 of the family's 154-position model. Lineage: Eukaryota; Fungi. The record is from RNAcentral.